Molecule: non-coding RNA, 46 nt
Organism: Danio rerio (zebrafish)
Lineage: Eukaryota; Metazoa; Chordata; Actinopteri; Cypriniformes; Danionidae
Source: Rfam
CCAACGGUACUUUUAAGUGCCACCAAAGUUUCGAUCAAAGAGCAUU